RNAcentral lists this small RNA (29 nucleotides) under Bombyx mori (domestic silkworm). Its description in RNAcentral is "ovarian small RNA-17915". Lineage: Eukaryota; Metazoa; Arthropoda; Insecta; Lepidoptera; Bombycidae. The record is from RNAcentral.
GUGGCGGUCUGUUUAUGUAUGAUAUAGGC